CCAUGAACUUGUACUGUAUCCAAACGACAUGCUGUCAUCAAUAGCCAAGAAACUUAAUUCUGAAGCUGCUGCUUUUUUUUUUUUUGUGUUAGAGUCUUAAACUUACUUUGUCUUCAUUUUAAAAGAUUGAAUCAUGUUUCACUGAAAUAACGUAUUGCAUUCUGGGGGAAGGAGAGAUCCCUCCAGAUCUCCAUAAAUGUAUUUUUUGCAAGCCAUAUAUGUUUGAAGCACUCUUUUAAUCUGUAUAAUAAUUGUCAGUGAGAAAUGUUGAUCCUGUAAUUAUGAAGUAAGUAUUACCGUUCACCUACUUAAUCAAAUUUCUGAGCUAGCUGUUAAUCAUCUGGAUUCCACCUCGGGAUGUGUCGCUUCCACCCCCUCAUCCAAUGUGACUUUUGCAUAUGCUCAUGUUACAUGUUUGUCAUUAAGAUUUAAGGUAGCUUAAGCUGUUUUAUGAGGCUCAUAACUGUAAAGUUUCUAGUCUUUUCAAAGCAGUUAUCUUUUGGUCACUCAGUUUUGGUGAGAUGCUUGCUUACCUUCAUGGGGGUGUGUUGAUAUUACGUAAGUAAAUAAAUGGGUGUGUAAGUCACCUUUUUUAAUACAGCUGAGGGGGAAGUCAAACCAGAAAAGUCACCGUAUAAUGAGAUCCCUGCGUCUCAGUACUUGUCCCACUGCAGUUCAGCUUCAGCCUCUGAGCUUGCAGCUGAUUCUAAAUGAGUGUGCUCUUAAACAGUGGUUUCAAUGGUACAGUUGAAUGCCUGUGGUCCAUGAAAUGCAUUUGAUUAAAAUUGCAUGCCAGGUGACAUCAAUUGAAAGGAAUAAAGCAGACUUAUAAUUGCAAGGUAGAAGAUAGUUUUAGGAGAGUAGAACUAAGAUGAUAGCUCUGUCUGCAACAAACAAGAUUAACUUAUCCCUUAUGUUUCCUUGGUCACAGGCUACGAACUAGAUCUGCUAUGAUCCUCUGCCAAAGCAUGAGGCACAGAGAGAAUCAGGAAAGGAAAGGCAGAGCAGAAGACAGACCACACAGAAAUGAGGAGUGCACUAGUCAUCUGUUAAGCCCUUGGUUCCCCACUGGAUGGCAGUCCCUGCCGCGCUAUUCGCUCUGGGAAGGAAAGGCUGGUUUCAAAAGCAGCACACGGAAAUCUCAUCCUGCUUUGGACAUGAAUAUGUACAUGAAAUAUUACAGUGUUACACCCUUUUGAAGUGAUGUACGUACUCUGCAACUUUCUGGAAAUAGCCCACAGGUGGAAUUACUUGGCCUCCACAGCUCUGCAUGGAUUCAGCUAUGAAGGCAGCAAUCUACAAAAAACAAACUCAGAAGCGAUUUGCCUGAACGCGGCGUUCCUUCGUGGUUACCCGUGAUAACCAUCUCACUGGACAUCAAAGCCCACAAGAAAAAGAGGGGACCAUUUCCUGGGGAAGAAGGUCAGGACUCACGUCUCAAGGCGUUGGGUUUCAACACAGAAGCUGCUGGUGGAGCACCCUCGGCUUUGCCUUCUCCCUGCCACGGAUACAGCUUUCUCCUCGCCUGGAGGCUGCUCCUUGAGUGAAAAACCAGCACCCACGUUCCCUGUCACCCCAUCUGCAGCUCAUCUGUGCCACCUGCAGCGCUGCGCCUGGAAGAGUUCUCAGAGAGC
Molecule: long non-coding RNA, 1634 nt
Organism: Calidris pugnax (ruff)
Lineage: Eukaryota; Metazoa; Chordata; Aves; Charadriiformes; Scolopacidae
Exons: 4
Source: RefSeq, a predicted model, not a curated record